Molecule: long non-coding RNA, 1741 nt
Organism: Canis lupus familiaris (dog)
Lineage: Eukaryota; Metazoa; Chordata; Mammalia; Carnivora; Canidae
Exons: 6
Source: RefSeq, a predicted model, not a curated record
UCUCCGCCGCCUCGCGGCUGCCAGGGGCGGGGCGGCCGCCCAGCCGAAGGGCAAGAGCGGGCCCUGGUGGGCGGAACGGAGGGGUGCAGCGGCCCGCACCGGCUCGGCGCUCUUCCUUCCCCCGCCCCCGCCCUCUCCGUCCACCUGGGGGCCUUCCCGCCAAAACCUCUCACCUGUGCCUGCCCAGCGCCCGCAGCUGCGGCCGCGGCGGAGGACCGCCUGAGGCAGCGCGUUGCUCGCGGGCCUUUCUUCGGAUCCAUAGAGAUCCUGUUUCUACAUAAAUCCCUCCACACGUUGAUGUCUGAGGAAUCAUUCUGACAGCAGCACGGUCGCUCACGGACGUCCUCACGGAAUGUCAGCGUCUGAAGACACACAGAGCUCCCGAGCCAGAGCCAGGGACGGACGUCAGAGCCUCAGCUCCUCCUAAAAUAAAUCAGAUGCAUCGAGAAGAGGCAUGGUUUAUCUCAGCCAGAGCUUGACCUGCUCACAUCUCUCUGCUUUUUGACAGUCAUAGACAGUCAUAACUGCCUUUCUAGCCCUGGGAUGUAAAUGGAAAAUUCAAGCAUCUGAGCAAGACUUUCCAAAAUGUAGAGGCUGUCAAAGCAGCUGAUGGAAUAGAUGGAAUAUUAUGCCAGGCACCUAGGUUGUGGACUCAAGCCAGCUCUCAGGCUGGGAACUCACUGAUAGAAGAGGAGGCCAGGUUCUUCAGGAGGAGGGACCCUGCAAUGCCACAGUUGGCAUACAUGUUUCUUCCAGGAAGAGAGGCCUGUGAGAACCUGGAGGGGCUACCUGUGGCACCCAGAUGGAACAUGUGGAUCUGAUUAGCAUAAUGGAUGGACUCUGAUAGACGCUGACCUGUUGUCUUCAAGAUAACAGGUUGGUUACUUAGGGUGGAGGCAGAAACCAGAGGCAGGAGGCAGCUACUCACCAUGCCCAGGGGGCCUAGAGGGCCGGGCCACCCGCAGGCGCUGGCUGCUACCUCGGGGCAGCACCAACUGGGAUUCAGUAGUAGGAUACAGUGACGCAGCGAUCCAGAACUGCUUGGCCAAGUUGGAAUCCUGUUCGGAAGAUCCUGCGAACACCAGUCCCUGGGGACAAAUUUCAACGGAUUUCUGGUGGCUGGGGAGGCCUCCGCCGGCCCUCGUUUCCAUGGCAACUCAGGACGCCGCUCCGAGUUUCCUCCUCUUCUGCCAGCCCCGCCCUGCAGAGAACCGUCAAGUUGGCGGCCACCACCGCCCCAAGCCCUCCUUCCUCUCCUGGGUAGAUGCUGGGGUCCAGGGCGUGCCUGUGUGCUCUCUGAAGCCCUCUUCUGCACUAUCACAGGCUUCCGGACCAGUCCAAGCCUUGGCGGCCCGGAUUGCCACAGCUCAGCACACCCUAUGUGGAUAUUGGUUGGAGAAUUCAAUAGAGCAGCUAACAUCCUAGUCUAUGGGAGCCAGAGCUCUGAACUGGGCCAGGAAGUACCUGUGUAAGGUUUUUGUUGUAUAUUCCCCUCUGCCCCAUCCUCUUAAGAGAAAUCUUACGGAAGAAGCUGGAUUUAGAUUGUAAAUGCAUUUACUAAUCAGUCUCACCGAAUGCUGCCUGCACUGCAACAGUUGUAAAUGAUCACUUAAAAGGACUAUAUCUGGGGAUCCCUGGGUGGCGCAGUGGUUUGGCGCCUGUCUUUGGCCCAGGGCUCGGUCCUGGAGACCCGGGAUCGAAUCCCACGUCGGGCUCCCGGUGCAUGGAGCCUGCUUCUCUC